UACGAAGGGGGCUAGCGUUGCUCGGAAUCACUGGGCGUAAAGCGCACGUAGGCGGAUUGUUAAGUCAGGGGUGAAAUCCUGGAGCUCAACUCCAGAACUGCCUUUGAUACUGGCGAUCUCGAGUCCGGGAGAGGUGAGUGGAACUGCGAGUGUAGAGGUGAAAUUCGUAGAUAUUCGGAAGAACACCAGUGGCGAAGGCGACUUACUGGACACAUAUUGACGCUGAGGUGCGAAAGCGUGGGGAGCAAACAGG
This 253-nucleotide ribosomal RNA is filed under the name uncultured bacterium. RNAcentral's name for it is "partial 16S ribosomal RNA". It matches the Rfam family "Bacterial small subunit ribosomal RNA", at positions 524 to 776 of the family's 1533-position model. The record is from RNAcentral.